This is a non-coding RNA of Pelobates cultripes (western spadefoot toad), 88 nucleotides long. The record is from the annotation of a GenBank genome assembly. NCBI's taxonomy places the organism in Eukaryota, Metazoa, Chordata, Amphibia, Anura, Pelobatidae.
GUCCGAGACACGUUUUGCCUUAUCUCCAAAAGGCUUUCUCAAGCUUUCUCAAAAGCCUUUUGGAGAUAAGGCAAAACGCAUCUCGGAC